This 260-nucleotide unclassified non-coding RNA is filed under the name Xylaria sp. RNAcentral describes it as "partial internal transcribed spacer region". The stretch from base 1 to 46 matches the Rfam family "Eukaryotic small subunit ribosomal RNA", at positions 1786 to 1831 of the family's 1831-position model. The record is from RNAcentral. Lineage: Eukaryota; Fungi; Ascomycota; Sordariomycetes; Xylariales; Xylariaceae.
AAGUCGUAACAAGGUCUCCGUUGGUGAACCAGCGGAGGGAUCAUUAUAGAGUUGCUACAACUCCAAACCCAUGUGAACAUACCUAUUGUUGCUUCGGCAGGUCGCGAGACUGCCGGGAAAGGCCUCCCCUUAAACCGGGAGGCCUACCCGGGAGCCCGCGGGCAAGCCUGCCGGUAGCCCACGAAACUCUGUUUUAGCAUUGAAUUUCUGAAUCUUGACUAAAUAAGUUAAAACUUUCAACAACGGAUCUCUUGGUUCUG